Molecule: ribosomal RNA, 504 nt
Filed under: uncultured Glomeraceae
Lineage: Eukaryota; Fungi; Glomeromycota; Glomeromycetes; Glomerales; Glomeraceae
Description: SSU rRNA
Rfam family: Eukaryotic small subunit ribosomal RNA
Source: RNAcentral
AGCAGCCGCGGUAAUUCCAGCUCCAAUAGCGUAUAUUAAAGUUGUUGCAGUUAAAGCUCGUAGUUGAAUUUCGGGGUUAGUAGGUUGGUCAUGCCUCCGGUAUGUACUGAUCUCACUGAUUCCUCCUUCCUUAUGAACCGUAAUGCCAUUAAUUUGGUGUUGCGGGGAAUUUGGACUGUUACUUUGAAAAAUUAGAGUGUUUAAAGCAAGCUAACGCUUGAAUACAUUAGCAUGGAAUAAUGAAAUAGGACGUUCGAUCUUAUUUUGUUGGUUUCUAGGAUUGACGUAAUGAUUAAUAGGGAUAGUUGGGGGCAUUAGUAUUCAAUUGUCAGAGGUGAAAUUCUUGGAUUUAUUGAAGACUAGCUACUGCGAAAGCAUUUGCCAAGGAUGUUUUCAUUAAUCAAGAACGAAAGUUAGGGGAUCGAAGACGAUCAGAUACCGUCGUAGUCUUAACCAUAAACUAUGCCGACUAGGGAUCGGAUGAUGUUAAUUUUUAAUGACUCA